This 791-nucleotide ribosomal RNA is filed under the name uncultured eukaryote. Its description in RNAcentral is "SSU rRNA". It matches the Rfam family "Eukaryotic small subunit ribosomal RNA", at positions 646 to 1456 of the family's 1831-position model. The record is from RNAcentral.
UCGGGGCGGUCCGACCGGUCUGCCGAUGGGUACGCACUGGUCGGAGCGUCCUUCCUGCCGGAGACCGUGCCUACUCUUAACUGAGCGGGGGCGGGAGACGGCACUUUUACUUUGAAAAAAUCAGAGUGUUUCAAGCAGGCAGCUCGCUCUUGCAUGGAUUAGCAUGGGAUAAUGAAAUAGGACUUUGGUGCUAUUUUGUUGGUUUCGAACACCGAAGUAAUGAUGAGAAGGGACAGUCAGGGGCACUCGUAUUCCGCCGAGAGAGGUGAAAUUCUCAGACCAGCGGAAGACGAACCACUGCGAAAGCAUUUGCCAGGGAUGUUUUCACUGAUCAAGAACGAAAGUUAGGGGAUCGAAGACGAUCAGAUACCGUCGUAGUCUUAACCAUAAACCAUGCCGACUAGGGAUUGGAGGAUGUUCACUGAUUGACUCCUUCAGCACCUUACGGGAAACUAAAGUCUUUGGGUUCCGGGGGGAGUAUGGUCGCAAGGCUGAAACUUAAAGGAAUUGACGGAAGGGCACCACCAGGUGUGGAGCCUGCGGCUUAAUUUGACUCAACACGGGGAAACUUACCAGGUCCAGACAUUGUGAGGAUUGACAGAUUGAGAGCUCUUUCUUGAUUUAAUGGGUGGUGGUGCAUGGCCGUUCUUAGUUGGUGGAGUGAUUUGUCUGGUUAAUUCCGUUAACGAACGAGACCUUAGCCUGGCUAAUAGUGACGCGAACUCUUUGUUCGCGGGCCACUUCUUAAAGGGGACAACUUGUCUUCAACAAGUGGAAGUUUGAGGCAAUAA